GAUGAACGCUGGCGGCGUGCCUAAUACAUGCAAGUCGAGCGAACGGACGAGAAGCUUGCUUCUCUGAUGUUAUCGGCGGACGGGUGAGUAACACGUGGAUAACCUACCUAUAAGACUGGGAUAACUUCGGGAAACCGGAGCUAAUACCGGAUAAUAUUUUGAGCCGCAUGGUUCAAAAGUGAAAGACGGUCUUGCUGUCACUUAUAGAUGGAUCCGCGCUGCAUUAGCUAGUUGGUAAGGUAACGGCUUACCAAGGCAACGAUGCAUAGCCGACCUGAGAGGGUGAUCGGCCACACUGGAACUGAGACACGGUCCAGACUCCUACGGGAGGCAGCAGUAGGGAAUCUUCCGCAAUGGGCGAAAGCCUGACGGAGCAACGCCGCGUGAGUGAUGAAGGUCUUCGGAUCGUAAAACUCUGUUAUUAGGGAAGAACAUAUGUGUAAGUAACUGUGCACAUCUUGACGGUACCUAAUCAGAAAGCCACGGCUAACUACGUG
This 497-nucleotide ribosomal RNA is filed under the name uncultured bacterium. RNAcentral's name for it is "partial 16S ribosomal RNA". It matches the Rfam family "Bacterial small subunit ribosomal RNA", at positions 28 to 507 of the family's 1533-position model. The record is from RNAcentral.